UAGGGAAUCUUCCACAAUGGACGCAAGUCUGAUGGAGCAACGCCGCGUGAGUGAAGAAGGUUUUCGGACCGUAAAGCUCUGUUGUUGGUGAAGAAGGAUAGAGGUAGUAACUGGCCUUUAUUUGACGGUAAUCAACCAGAAAGUCACGGCUAACUACGUGCCAGCAGCCGCGGUAAUACGUAGGUGGCAAGCGUUGUCCGGAUUAUUGGGCGUAAAGCGAGCGCAGGCGGAAGAAUAAGUCUGAUGUGAAAGCCCUCGGCUUAACCGAGGAAUUGCAUCGGAAACUGUUUUCUUGAGUGCAGAAGAGGAGAGUAGAACUCCAUGUGUAGCGGUGGAAUGCGUAGAUAUAUGGAAGAAUACCAGUGGCGAAGGCGGCUCUCUGGUCUGCAACUGACGCUGAGGCUCGAAAGCAUGGGUAGCGAACAGGAUUAGAUACCCUGGUAGUCCAUGCCGUAAACGAUGAGUGCUAAGUGUUGGGAGGCUUCCGCCUCUCAGUGCUGCAGCUAACGCAUUAAGCACUCCGCCUGGGGGAGUACGACCGCAAGGUU
Molecule: ribosomal RNA, 548 nt
Filed under: uncultured bacterium
Lineage: Bacteria
Description: partial 16S ribosomal RNA
Rfam family: Bacterial small subunit ribosomal RNA
Source: RNAcentral